GUCUCAGGUUCACAGUGGUUAGUGCACAGCCCCGGAUAGGUUGAGACGCGGGUUCGAUUCCCGCCUGAGAUG
This 72-nucleotide transfer RNA is filed under the name Nippostrongylus brasiliensis. It matches the Rfam family "tRNA". From Rfam's summary of the family: Transfer RNA (tRNA) molecules are approximately 80 nucleotides in length. Their secondary structure includes four short double-helical elements and three loops (D, anti-codon, and T loops). The record is from Rfam by way of RNAcentral. Lineage: Eukaryota; Metazoa; Nematoda; Chromadorea; Rhabditida; Heligmosomidae.